Molecule: long non-coding RNA, 1940 nt
Filed under: Sus scrofa (pig)
Lineage: Eukaryota; Metazoa; Chordata; Mammalia; Artiodactyla; Suidae
Description: lncRNA (ENSSSCG00045008588.1)
Source: RNAcentral
AGAGGGAGGGACUUUGGACCCUUUUCCCAAAGAGCUCCGCCCCCAGGAAGGCAGACCUGUAAGGAGGUGGUCGGAUGUCCUGUUGUGUGUAUUUCUCUGGGAGGACGAAGGGGAGGGGCUCCUAGGCUGGGGGUGGGGGAAGGGACGUGUCCCUUCCUGUUUUGAUCUGGAGGCUGUGAGGCCCUGAGCAGGUCCACACUACCCUGAUGUGCACUCCGGGCCUGUCUGUUGCAUUGCACUUAUGAGAGCUGUGUAGGCUGGAGACCCAGCCUGAGACACGCGACCAGGAGCCUGACUCGUGGCUGUGUUCAUCCUGUGGUCUGAGGUGAAGUGGCCAAGAAGGCUGAAACCAACAUCUUCCGGAGAGCCUGGGUCUUAAUAAAAUCAAGACUCUCCUAUUUCAUAUCUUGACUUGAACCAUCAACUGAUCAGUGAUUCAGUUUUGGAAUUUUGGUGGGGUUAGUUAGAUAUUGUGCUUUGGGGAAAUUGGUUGCUAUUGAGAUUGCUUCUGGGUAGUUAUGACAUUAUUAUAAACACAUGAUUCUUGUUAUAGUCGCUAGCUUAUUACAUGCAUUAUUGGCUGUAAAAUAUUUUUAAAGCAUACCUUGGGGGUAUUCAUGUGGAACUUGUGGGGAGGUUUAAAUCUUGCAUAUGAAGGUUCCUUCCAUCUUGUUUAAAUUACCUAGAAAGGAGAAAUGGAACUUCUAAUUAAAUGCAUUAAAAAUUUUAAAAUUAUAAAAUACUUAUUUUUUGAAUAGAUUAUACAUACACAUGAUUUAAAAUUUAGGUUUCCUCCUUUUCUGCCAUCAGCCCGAAGACAAUGAUGUUAUGAAUUAUUUAUAUGAAAAAGUGUGUGUGUGUAUGUGUGUGUGUAUGUGUGUGUGUAUGUGUAUGUACACAUACAUACAUAUAUAUUCCUUCUCCCUACUCUCUUUUUUGCACAGAUGAUAGACUAUUUUGCUUUUUUUCUUUACUUAAUAUAUCUAAGAAAUCAAUCUGUGUGAGUACAUGAAAGGGUUCCUCAUUGUUUUUUGAAUGAAGAGUAUGGCUAAGUAGUAUGCUGUUGUAUGGCAUACCAUAAUUUACCCAGCCCCUGUUUUUUCCAGUCUUUGGCAUUUAUAAAACAAUGCCACAGGAAUUCCCUCUGUGGUGCAGCGGAAUCAGCGGUGUCUUGGGAGUGCUGGGACACAGGUUCAAUCCCCAGCCCAGCACAGUGGGUUGGGGAUCUGGUGUUGCCACAGCCAUGCUUUGGUCACGGUUGCAACUUGGACCUGAUCUCUGGCCUGGGAACUCCAUGUGUCUCAAAGCGGCCAAAAAACCCCCAGGAAAACCCACAAUGCUGCAAAGAAUAAUCCUAUAAUUAUUGUUAUAAUGUUAUUGCAUGUGUAUAAAUAAAUUCCUGUAAGUUGACAUUUUACGUUGAAAAUUGUGUAUCUUUAAAAUGUUGAGAGAUAUUGCCAAGUUGUCUGUCUUAGAGGUUUUAACAAAACCCAGCUAGCAAUAAGAGAAUCCCGUAGUUAAUAUACUUAAAAAUGUAAUUUUGUAGAUGUGUAUGACCCUGUCUGUCAUGUUAUUUUUUCUUUUUUCUUUAUUUUCUUUUUUGGUUGUGCCCAAAGCAUAUGAGAGAUCCCAGGCCAGGGCUUGAAUCUGAGCCAUAGCUGUGACCAUAGCUGUGGCAGUGCUGGAUCCUUAACCCACUGUGCCACAGGGGGAACUCCUUGUCAUGUUAUUUUUCAAUUAAAACAUGGCUAUAGUUCAUGGGUUAAAGAUCCAGGGUUGCCAUGAGCUGUGGUGUAGGUCACAGACCUGGCUCGGAUCCCACAUUGCUGUGGCUGUGGCAUAGGCUGGCAGCUGUAGCCCGGAUUUGACCCCUAGCCUGGGAACCUCCCUGCUGCAGGUGUGGGCCUAAAAAGCAAAAAAAAAAAAAAAAAAAAAAAAAA